Molecule: transfer RNA, 94 nt
Filed under: Streptomyces lanatus
Lineage: Bacteria; Bacillati; Actinomycetota; Actinomycetes; Kitasatosporales; Streptomycetaceae
Description: tRNA-Cys
Source: RNAcentral
CAGGACCGUAUCGAGACGGUCCGUGGCUUCGGCUACAAGCUGAAGGCCUGAGCGGGGCGGCAUGCGGGGGAUGUUCAGACGUCCGGCCACGUCC